Molecule: long non-coding RNA, 340 nt
Organism: Prionailurus viverrinus (fishing cat)
Lineage: Eukaryota; Metazoa; Chordata; Mammalia; Carnivora; Felidae
Exons: 3
Source: RefSeq, a predicted model, not a curated record
CUCAGGUGUGCUCACCUAGCCACUCUACACAGGACUUUUGAAGGACUUUUGAACUGCAGAUUAAAGAAACCAUGCCAGUUGCUGCUACCGCAGACAGAGAACAGAGAAAUCCUCUACGAGCCCCAUGGGUUUACAGAAGUCUAUCCAUCACUCUGUCAGUCUUCCGGAUCAUUAUUCAAGUUGCUAUCCCCAAUUUUGCUGGAUAUAUCAGAUCAACUCCAGCUCCAUAGAUGGAUAGUGUGCUUUCUUCCUAUAUUUAAAGACAGCAAAGUGGAAAGCUGAUGAAUAUUAUAAGGACACACUGAAUAGUGCAUCGUUACUAUGGCAAUAAAAAAGAGAA